Cercocebus atys (sooty mangabey) is the source of this 2388-nucleotide long non-coding RNA. RefSeq lists it as uncharacterized. The record is from RefSeq and is a predicted model, not a curated record. NCBI's taxonomy places the organism in Eukaryota, Metazoa, Chordata, Mammalia, Primates, Cercopithecidae. The transcript has 6 exons.
CUGUUUUCUGGGCAUCGGCUGCUCGGUGAAGCUCAGUGGCACAUGUUCGUCACCCUUUUGCCCUGUUCCGUGGUGCGCAGGCGCUGUCGUGCGCGUGCCUUCAACUGUCUCAAACUUACUGUACCCCCUUCUCCAUUCCCCUUGUCAUCUCUGCCUGUUGUGCUCUUGGUUCAUCCUAAAAGAAUGGCUUCAGUGAGGAAUCUGGUUGCCAUGGUUAUUAUCGUGAUUAUCACCGUGGUGCCAGCCACAGUGAUGGGCUGAGGCAGGUGGAUCACUUGAGGCCAGGAGUUCAAGCAGAACAUGAACCAAGUGUGGGACUCUUCCGAACUCGGGGCUCUAUGCAGUUGCACAGGCUGCAUGCCCAUGAAGCCGGCUGUGUUCACAGUUGUUCCCAGCUAAUGCCAGAGGGCCUCUUUGCUUGAAGCCAGCAGCAGGUUGGGACCACUCUGGUGAACUGCCCUUCUUUGGACUUGGGCGUCUCAGUUGCUCCAUUUCUGCUCAAUGGGGCUGUAUUAUAAUCCUCACCAUAGCCUUCUGAGACCUGCUGACGGCUGUGAGAAGGGAGGAGUGUGCUAGGAACAGCCCUGGCUGGGGAGCCAGGAGACCUGGCUGGGUUUCCUCUCCUGAGUGAGCUGGGUGUGGGCUAGGAUUGUAUGACAACUGACCUUGGCUUGCCCUUGAAUGAGUGCUUGCUAAGAGAGAAGUAGUCCUGGGAACCCAAGAAGGGUGGCCCCGAGGAGAUAACAAUGGACACAUUAUUUAAACUUUUUUCCUUCUUUUGCAAUUCUGCAUAGUCAUCCUCUCUUGCACAGAACUUCAUCUAGAAUGGUAGGACAUCACCCAUAACAGUCAUAUUCAUCAUGCAUUACCUUAUGUGUUAAAAGCAUUUAGGACUCUUUAGGAGUGGUGCUCCUCUUGCAAAUGAGGGAGUCUUUGUGCCAGUGCCUCAGUGGGACCAACGCUGGAGCAGAAGCUGCGAGAGGAGGGCAGUGGUGGAAAUGUUCUAGAUGUGUGCCGCUGGAUUCGGUAGCUGCCCGCCCCAUAUGGCUACUGAACACUUGGAGUGGGGCUAGAGAAGCUGAGGAAUUACAUUUUAAAUUUCAUGUAGUUUUAACUAAUUUAAAAAAUUUCUAUAGCUACAUGUGGCAGUGACAACCUAGUUAGACAGUAGAGACUAAAUCUAGAGCCUAGAACCACGUGAUCUGCCCGCCUCAGCCUCCCAAAGUGCUAGGAUUACAGGCAUGAGCCACGGCACCUGGCCCUGCUAAAUCUUUUUAAACCCACUGUUGACACCUGUUGCUCAGAAAAAAAAGAUUCCUUUCAAACAUUACUGCUCAUUGACAAUGGACCUGGUCACCUGAGACAUCUGAUGGAGAUGCGCACGGAGAUGAAUGUUUUCACGCCUGUGAACACACCAUCCAUUCUGCAGCAGGUAAAGAGCCGAGGCACAGAGAAGUUGGACAACCUGCCCACAGCCAAGGCUGCAGUCACAAUGGGCAAAGGGUUUAUCACAUGCUCUAUGUUGCUGCUAUUCAAACCUGACGUCUUGCUGGACUCACUGGACAUACCACCUCAGUGCCGAAAUUAAGGCAGUGCUAAAAAAUAAAAAGAGAAGAAGAUGGAGGAAGGUCAAAGGACACAGGAGGCAAUGUGGAAGAGCUCCCAAUGGCCAAAGUUGGAGCAAUUUGGGAAAUAAGAAGAACUCCAAACAAUAUGUGUGAAUAUUCCAUUCCUUGGCUGGGAGCAGUGACUCACACCUGUAAUCCCAGCACUUUGGGAGGCCAAGAGCCUCCAGAAAGGAGGCUUCGUUUCAGCCUCCUAAGAGCCUGAGCAGAGAACCCAGCUGGCACUUCUGGCCCGCAGAAUUGUAAGCUCAUAAAUGGGUGUCAUUUGAAGCCACUAAAUUAUAGUGAUUUGUUACAUAGCAAUAUAAGACUAAAACAUUACACAAAAAAUAAAGUGACCAUUGAAAAAUUUGAGGGACACUCAGUCAAAAACCACCAGGUUUACAUUCAGAUCUUUUGCUUGUUAACAUGUCUGCUAACCUAGGAGGAAAGAAGGCGGAAAGGCUCCUGAGAAUGUGAGCUCAGAAACGGAGUCUUCCCAGAGAGACUGGACCAUGACCAGCCAGCACUGCCACUGAGGAGAGACUGGCAGUGGCAGGGAGAAUGCACAAGACAUUCUCUAAGAUUCCUUUUCAUCUUAUAAUUCUGUGGCUCACAAUAUUCUAAAAUUCAUUCAUUCAUUCAUUAGUUCAUUCACUCAUCAAAUAUUUAUUGCAAAGCUAUCACAUGCCAGGAGCUGGUUACAUGUAAUGUUGUAAAAGUUUUUACAGAUGUGAUUAAGUUAUUUAAAAAAACAAAAGCAGAAUAGGUAGAGUAUUAAUCC